This 395-nucleotide ribosomal RNA is filed under the name uncultured bacterium. RNAcentral describes it as "bacterial SSU rRNA". It matches the Rfam family "Bacterial small subunit ribosomal RNA", at positions 29 to 415 of the family's 1533-position model. The record is from RNAcentral.
AACGAACGCUGGCGGCGCGCCUAAUACAUGCAAGUCGAGCGAGAAGACGUAGCAAUACGUUUGUAAAGCGGCGAACGGGUGAGGAAUACAUGGGUAACCUACCCUCGAGUGGGGAAUAACUAGCCGAAAGGUUAGCUAAUACCGCGUACGCUCCUCGGACUUCGGUUCAGGGAGGAAAGCGAUACCGUGGGUAUCGCGCUCUUGGAUGGGCUCAUGUCCUAUCAGCUUGUUGGGAGGUAACGGCUCACCAAGGCUUCGACGGGUAGCUGGUCUGAGAGGACGAUCAGCCACACUGGCACUGCGACACGGGCCAGACUCCUACGGGAGGCAGCAGUAAGGAAUAUUGCGCAAUGGGCGAAAGCCUGACGCAGCGACGCCGCGUGGGGGAUGAAGGU